This is a long non-coding RNA of Manis pentadactyla (Chinese pangolin), 2048 nucleotides long. RefSeq lists it as uncharacterized. The record is from RefSeq and is a predicted model, not a curated record. NCBI's taxonomy places the organism in Eukaryota, Metazoa, Chordata, Mammalia, Pholidota, Manidae. The transcript has 3 exons.
CCAAGUCCCAUAGCUACCUGCUUUGGGAUUGUAUUAAGGUGUCCACGAGGCAGUAGCCAGUCUAAGGGGCUAAGAGCAAGACCCACAGGAAACAGUGGAAAGAUGGAACACCUCAAUCCGGGAUGGGUCAGGAGGGACCUGAGGACCAUCUGUUGCUCUUAGCCUGCACACCCGCUGUUUCAUUCUGGACUUGGGGUUGAGAAAGCAGAAUUCUAGUCUCUACUUUACUUCUAACUUACUGGACAAGACAGGUCAUUUUUCUUCUGAGUCUCAGUUUCCCCAUUUCUUAAAUUGGGAAUGGAGUGGGACGAGAGGGGCAGUCACAGUCACACCUCAUAUCUGUAACACCUUCACAGUUCAUGCACAUUGUCACUUUUCCUCAUAAAAUCAAAAGACACAUAUUACUAAUCCCAUUUCAUAGGUGGCUAGUAAAGGUCAGAGAUGGCACUUGCCCUGAGGUCUCUUUCCAUGCUAAGAUCCUUCCAAUAGUAAAGCCCUGUGGUUCUCCUACUACCGUUUAAUCGAGUAUUCCUGAGCCCCUACUGUGUGCAGGAGCAGGGGUACAAAGGGGCUUCAACAUGGUGUAGAGUCAUUUGUUUGCAUGUCCCACCUGCCCCACUAGCUUGUCAUCUCCUUGAGAGCAACCCAGGCCAGCCUUUUCACUGCGUCCCUCAAACCAGAACCGUGCCUUAUCCUCUGGAUAAACAACAAACAAAGAUACAAUAACAAGCCACAUGCAACAAGUAUGUGUUGAGAAUCCAGCCUGGAGCCAGAACUUGGCUUGGGCUUUCGAGAAGGCUUCUUGGGCUCUUUUGUUUACUGUGAGAGCACUGUUUUUUUCCCCCCUUCUUAGCUCCAGAGACGCUUUCAGCCUCGUGAGGUGCAAUCAUCAAUCAACAUUUACUCUCCAGAUACUGCCCAGUGCCAGACCCAACAGGAUGCACUUUAUCAACCUCUUAAUUUAGUUUAUGUUUCAGGCAGGAGUCAUACGAGGAAUCUAUUAAAUUCCUGCUACUGCUUCUUUUUGGAAAAACAACUUUCAAUUAAAAACGUAGAAAGGCCUGUUCAGGAGACCAAAAGAUCGGUGAGAACAAUGCUUGAUGAAAACAGAAGUAGUCACAGGGAAUGGGGCUCUGUUCAAGCCUCGUGGCUUAGAGACAGACAGCACCUGGUGAUGAGACACACGUGGGUUCUGGAAUGCAGUGGCCAGCGUUUGAAUCCUGACCUUCUCGCUCAUUAAAACUCACGCCGACACUUAACCUCCACUUCUUCCGUAACUGGAGCUGAGAGUAUUCCCAGAGAAAUUCCCACUAGCGCCCUUGGCCACAGACACACGUUGAGAUGACUGUGAGGACCGCCCCCACUUGGACUGUGAUGGCCACUAGCCAGAAAUGCGCAUUAAUAAGGAAAGAACUAAAGAGCUGAUAAAAUAUGGGAUCUGGAAAUGAAGGGAAAGUCCACAUCAUCAAGAAGAAUGAGCUUCCCGGAAGGAUUUUAGUUGACGUUUAGCUGAAAAAGCAGCUGAAUGUGAUGCUGAUCAAUUCAAAAUGUAUGUAAAAUAAAUAUUCAAGGGAAGGUAUUUCUAUGGGUGAAAGGGAUGGGAAGGGCUUCGAGGAGGAGAAGGUCAAAAGCAAAAUAACAAUAAAAGCCAAAGAGGUCUCACGGGUGGUGCUAGAAGUCCAAAGCUGAGGUGUGUGAUCCAUCUGGUUCUCUGCAUCCCCUGUGUAAGAAAGUGAAAUAGGGUCAGUGUCAUAGAGCAGAUGUGAGGACUGCGUGAGAUAAUGUGUGGAAAACCCCAGGACAGGCCUCACACAAAUGCCCAGUGAACAUUUACAGCUGCUCUAUGUUUCCUAACGUUACGUAUGCUUUGCUUAGCCACUUCCUGGCGAUGUAUCAGGAGGCAAUUGAACCUCACAAAUCAAUGGUGAACAAAUCAGGGCGUGGGACAGUGAGCUGUGGGCCUCAUCUGUUGGGUAUUGAUUCCUUUUGACGUUACUUUUAUGAAGUAGGAGUUCAAAGACCCAGACGUUACAGCGAUGAGACAAGAG